RNAcentral lists this unclassified non-coding RNA (1753 nucleotides) under Sitophilus oryzae (rice weevil). Its description in RNAcentral is "methionine-R-sulfoxide reductase B1, transcript variant X4". The record is from RNAcentral. Lineage: Eukaryota; Metazoa; Arthropoda; Insecta; Coleoptera; Curculionidae.
UAGGGAUCUGUGGUAGGGAUUUGUAGAGUAGAGGGGAGAGAAAAUUUCGAACUUAAAACCAAAAAUAAAAAUUUAUUUAUAUAUUAGAUUUCUGUCUUUUAUAUGCUGUGAAUACUGUGAUGUACAUUUACUCUAUUCUGAUAUAAAAUAGACGUGCGUAUGUUUAACACUUUCAGACUUUCAAGACAGUGUUUCCAAAAGUUUUUAUUUACUUCUGCAAAUUCAAAAUUUAAAUUUCAUUUAACAGCAAGCAAUAGAAUGGCAGAUAAAAUAGAUAAAGAGGAACUAAGAAAGAAACUAACACCUUUACAGUAUCAUGUUACACAAGAGAAAGGCACUGAAAGACCAUUUUCAGGAUGUUACAAUAAAGUUUACGAUGCUGGUACUUAUGUCUGCAUAGUCUGUCAGCAGCCCCUUUUUACCUCAGAAACCAAAUACGAUUCAGGUUGUGGUUGGCCCGCUUUUAAUGAUGUAUUAGAUCAAGGAAAAAUUAAACUCACUCCAGACACAAGUGGAGUCGGAGCAAACCUUUUACUCCUCAUAUCCCAACCAGGCCGCAUCAGGACGGAGGUGACCUGCGCCCAGUGCGGUUCCCAUCUAGGCCACGUGUUCAACGACGGACCGGCACCCACCAAGAAGAGGUACUGUAUUAAUUCGGCAUCGAUGGACUUUAUACCGCACCAAAAAGCCGACGGUGAUAGCUAGGAUUAAGAACAAUUUUAUGUUUGCGUACUUAAAAUGGUCUUGUUUUGUUGUUUUUAGUUUAUAUAAAAAUCUAAAUUAUAUUAUAUUUUAAAUUGUUUCAGAAAAAAUUGUAUUUGCUAUACCGGUAGUCUCAGUAACCCUGUUUCAGUGGAAUGCCGUAUAAUUGUAAAGGUAGUAUCAGACAUAGCUACUUUUGUUGCGCAGCACAUUAAAAAAUGCGCAACUUGAUCUGCUGCAAGUGUGAAUACCUAGGCAACCUGCAACGUUGCGAUCGCAGCUUGGUUGCGUAGGCUACUUUUUUGUUGCGCGCAGUUUAAGAAAUAGCCGUGUGUGAACUGUUGUUGAGGAAGGUUGCAAGUGCAGCAAAAUAUUACUAAUCAGUUGAAACUUUUACUGCGGACAUCGCGUUAAGGUAGUAUCAGACAUAGCUUUUUUUGUUGCGCAGCACAUUAAAAAACUGCGCAACUUGAUCUGCUGCAAGUGUGAAUACCUAGGCAACCUGCAACGUUGCGAUCACAGCUUGGUUGCAUAGGCUACUUUUUUGUUGCGCGCAGUUUAAGAAAUAGCCGUAUGUGAACAGUCGUUCAGGAAGGUUACAAGUGCAGCAAAAUAUUACUAAUCAGUUGAAACUUUUACUGCGGACAUCGGUGCAGUAUUCUGUUGGUAUGCCCAAAAUGUAUACACUUUUUUUCAGUUAAGUCCAGGAUUUAUAUGUAGGUAUUUAGUUAAGAAUUAACCGACAAAUUGCGAUGUCGUCGAAGUCAAAACAAGCGAUUUGGAACAGAGAACAAGUAAAAUGUUUAAUAGGAGUAUUUUUGGAGCGUAAAAAGUCCAUUCUAUCACAACCAAAAGAAAAGACGAGCCGCUAUUUUGGAAAUUUCUUCUAAAUUACAUAUGCCCGAUGAAGACAUAAAAAAGGAAAACUACACGUUGCGUGCACAAUAUUCGAAAGAACGUUCAAAAAUGAAAAGUUCCAAAUCCGGUUUGCUCUUCCAAAAGGUACACACACGAUACCUUGAGCUGUGGGGUGGUGUACUGUUGAAUGUUG